ACGAUAACUAAUUUUUAUUACAAAUUAUUAUGCAAAGUCACUGACUUGAGCGUCAGAGUGUCUUUUGUAGGCACCCUCCCCCGCGGCUAGGACAAGGAGAAGAGAGAGAACAACACAACUUCAAAGAUGGAAUAGAAAAAUUUUAAUGCUUUGGGUUAGGGAUCUUAAUCCUACCGAAACAUUUUGGCGCCCACCGUGGGGCCCGAACGAUAUACUCUUAGGGCCGUUAGGAACCAGACCAACAUUCGGUUCCAACACCAGUACUUCGGCCACACCCUUACAUGUUGACCCUUGUCAGUGGUGGUAAAAAGUCUCACCACUAACGUCAACCAUCUUUGAGGCUUGCGUGCAUUCGGCUUUAUUCAACACAUACACUUG
RNAcentral lists this long non-coding RNA (378 nucleotides) under Vigna radiata. Its description in RNAcentral is "long non-coding RNA (VRAD_LNC015977)". The record is from RNAcentral. Lineage: Eukaryota; Viridiplantae; Streptophyta; Magnoliopsida; Fabales; Fabaceae.